AUAAGCAAGCCUUUCUAUGUCUGAGUAGCCACAUGCAAGUCCACAUGAAUUGCUACAGCCCAGCUCAUUUUGCACUAAGCCCUUGUCCAGGCAAAUCCUUGUAAGACAUGCACUGAACUUAAGAAUCUGCCUUAUAAAUAUGAGCAUGAUCCUGAUUAACAGUGGCUCUUUUCUGGUUCCCAGCCUUUCCCAUUGCCUUCCUCUUAACUGGAGAUGCUGGGGAUUGGACUUGGGAAGUUUUGGGUGCAAAACAUGUGCUUUCUCACUGAGUUACGACCCCUCCUCAUUUGAUUAAAAUGGCCAGGAUCCAAUGAACCAUGCAACUAGUUACAUGGUUGAACAGCAACUCCAACCCACCCCUUGUUCCACAGUUACCCAAGGGAGAGCUUCCAAGGUAUUUUAUGACAGUAGAGCUUGCUGUGUGCAUGGGGCAAAAGCCAAUAUCCAACAGGCAUGCCCAAAGUAGUUAAUUUGGAUCCUGGCCAGUAUAGCUGCAAUAAAAUUCAAAUUUUUGCAGCUGCAGUGCUGAGCUGGCCACAGGAAUCCUUGUGUGGCAGGAAGAUCUUCACCUGAUUUCCUAUUCCCAGAUAAAAGAACGCUGGCUUUCCUAACAGCGUUUAGUAUGAAUUUUGGAGCCUGAUUUGGAACCUGAUCCAGCAAGGGCAAAUUCACCCAGAAGCAGUUUUUGUAUAUGUGACUUGAUAACACCCCACUGCAUACAGUAUACAAGACCAAACUCCUGAACUAAACUUGGACCCACUUUGGGGCUUAGUGGGGAGGUGAAGGGUGAAGAUACAGGAAUACUCUAUCUUGUGCAUGGCUAAAUCAGCAGUUGAGUCAAGGUGGCAUGGUAAUGCUGGCACGAGGGGAGAUGGGAAGGGGAUGAGCUACUUCUGUGGGAACUAAUCAGCAUGCACAUUGGGUCCCAUGGAGGGCAGGGCCUGCAGGCAGACUAGAAAAGAAGACUGGCUUUGCAGUAUCCAUAAGCAAGUUAUUUAAGCAACCCCACCCCUUCCUCUAUACAGUUCAUAUGCCACUUGUUCGUAGUAUGUUACAUCAUGGAACAAUGAAUCCACAGAAAAAUAUUGCAUCAAUUCAUUCUGCUUUCUCAAAUGCAAAAGAGAGAGAAAAUUAUCCCCUACUCUUAAAACAUUUAUUAGUUUCAACCUUUUCCUUAUUUUCACUCCUGUGGAUAAAUGCACAAAAAUGUGCAAUAGCAAAUCAUGGGGUUGUAAGAAAAUAUGCCAAAGUAGAGACUCGGUGUUAUCCAACAGUUAACUUGUACGUCUAAAACAUCUGCUGGAUUUUUUUUUUAAAUGUCAUUUCUGAUAAGGGGGGAAGAGGAGGAAUAACUGGAAGAGUUCUAGGUGUAUGCAAGAAAAAGAAUAAUUUAUUUAACCCAUUUUCAUUAUCAAAACAUGCAUUUGCUUUGUUAAUUCGUUUUCAACUGACUUAGUACUAGUUCAUUCUUUCUCUUUAUUCCCAUUUAGUUUUGUUUGCUGUUGAUUUAAAUGGGAGACUCAGCCAGUAUCACCCUGCUUGUAAUUUUGGUGUUUUUCAUUCACGUGGAAAACUCUAUCAAAAUCUGCAAAUGGUGGAUUUUGAAAAGCCCUGAAAAUCAGUGCUUUUAGGCAGUGCUGUUUUGCAUGGAGGUAGGCAGAGCAGGAUUCAAGGCCCAUGAUAUUGCAUUUCCACUUUGGUGAAAGCGGCCCGGGGAUAUUAACAGUCUCACUACGCUUAAUAAAGAAUGCUCCAAUCCUCCAGGCCCAAAUUUAGUCAAUAGUAAAUCCGGAUUUUUAAAAGCAUUCCUUUUUAAUGGUUGGAAAAGGACACUCCUGGUAAUGUUUUCAAUUUAUUUCUAAUCUGCAAGAACACAGUCUGGAAAGUCCUUAGCACCCUCAAUUUCCAUUGAUUUAAGUGGCAAUCAGCACCCUACUGGAAGGACCUGCAGAGAACAGUACAGACAGCUGGAGCAGAGAGCUGUAAUCACAAGGCUGAUGAAAGCAAUAGGUGCUUCCUGAGAAACAUGCUUUAUGUUACUGAGUUUGGCCUCGCUCUCUGAGCUUAGCCUUGAGAUGCAAAAGGGAUAUAUUGGUUGUUGCAGAGCUCGAGCAAGUUACAGGGUCUGGCAUUUGGGGGGUAAGGGUUAAGCUAGCUGUGUGCAUGUUGGUGUGGGAUUUUCAAAUUGAGUUUUAGUCUGAUAGGAGUUUGUUCUGUUUUCUUCUGUAUUAAAGUGAAUCUGUGCCAAGGUCUUCAAGAGGAGGGUGAGAUAUCUCUGUUUAUUUCACUCAAAAAUGUACCCACAAUGGGGAAGGAUAGCAAGUAGAAAAUAGUAUUUUUUUAAAAAAUCAUUGAAAAAGUGAUGGAGAGAGGCAAGGAUAAAUGUUGACUAAAGGCAUCUUUCUGUCUAUUGAUUGACAGAUGUUAUUACUAAGGCGUUUUAAAAGUCCAUUGUGAAUGCAACAUACAUGCAUUUGCAAAUAUGUGUAUCAUACAGAUGUGCAAGUUGGGGAACUGAGGCAGGCUGCGGCACCCUGAGUAUACAUUUAAUAGCAACUUGGCUCUGUGUAGUGCAUGAAAGGAUAACUGAUGCCUUCUUCCACUUUGCUGCAGAGUCCCAAUUUUUCAUACUGUCCACUUCCAGAGAUGAGUAACAGAAAAGAGCAACUAACUUUUUCUUGCCAUUUUUUCAACUUUUUUUUUUUGCUCAACAGAACGUAUACUCUGAGACACACACACACACACACACACACACACACACACACACAAACACACUAUACCUGGUAUGGAGUGAGUGUUCACAGAAGUCCAAGCCUUCUGGUUGGUUGCCCAUUCUGAAAUACCACUGAUGAAAUACCACUAAAUAACUUCAAGGUGUCUAGUGGUUGUCAACCCUUUCAGGUUAGGCACAUUUGGAUUUUUGAACAAGGGGUGUUGGGACCCUUCUCUCUGCUCACUUCUCUUGCCACUCCACUCUUUCCAAGAAAAAACAGGUGCACAUGCAUCACUUUUGCAGGGGAUCUGGGUAAAAGUUGAACCCGGUAGAAUUGAUCAAAGCCUUGAAAAGCCCAUAGAGCUGAAAGUGGAAGUGGGAAAGAAUGACCCUCUUCCAACUUCCUAUUUCAACUCUACGCACAUUCAGCAGGUGGGUACGUAACCAACUUUGCCACCUCAUGACCAAGGGGUUGGUGACUGGGGCAGGGGAUCAGACUUUUAAUCAUUGCCAGGGCAAGGUCUGAAGGUGUUCAUGGUUGCCUCAUUGGCAACUCUGUGCUACUGACUUUUUCAUACAAAACUGGAUCAAACCUGUUACAGCAGUGAGAGGUUGUGAAAGUUGAGAAGGAAGUUGCUCAUCAUUUAUUUCUUAGAAAAGGGAGCCAAACUCAAGCUUAUCUCUCCCCCCACCUGCCCAAUCCUUUGCAUUCUUUCUGAAUCGGGUUAUCAUUUCUUUUCAUUCCAUUCCAUGCAUGACAGAAAUACUGUACUGCUUAGGUGGCAGCUGCUUCAUCAGUAAUUAUAUGAUUCUGUACUUUUCAAGGAUUGCCGAAAGCAUGAAAAAAGAAUACCUCAAUUCAUUUUCUUAAUAUAAGGGCCUGCCCUAGAGAUAUUUUAAUUAAAUGACCUAGAUAUAUUAAUAAUACAAAUUAAAAGUAAGUGGGCAAGAUCUAGUUUUGUUUUCAAAUUCCAGUUGGGAAGUUUUGUUCAGAUCCAAUGAAAGCAAAAGCCACUUUCCCUUCCUUCUGGCAUAUAAGGCAAUGUGUCUCGGGGGGGGGGGGGUCCCCCUUGCCUUUUUUUGGCAACCUGAGUUUGGGAUUUCAAGUUCUAAUAUUUGGAAUGAGUCAUUCUUAAAUUUACCUGCUAUUUUGGAUGAUCCCUUGUGGCUGUACUCAUUUGGCCAAAUCAGUGCCAGAUUUAUGCACAGGCUAAGUGGGCUGCGGCGUAAGGCCUCAGAUUAUGAGAGGCCUAUAAAUAACCCCCCCCC
RNAcentral lists this long non-coding RNA (3982 nucleotides) under Podarcis lilfordi (Lilford's wall lizard). Lineage: Eukaryota; Metazoa; Chordata; Lepidosauria; Squamata; Lacertidae. The record is from RNAcentral.